Long non-coding RNA from Xiphias gladius (swordfish), 363 nucleotides. RefSeq lists it as uncharacterized. The transcript has 3 exons. NCBI's taxonomy places the organism in Eukaryota, Metazoa, Chordata, Actinopteri, Istiophoriformes, Xiphiidae. The record is from RefSeq and is a predicted model, not a curated record.
UAAAGUUCGCCGAAUUUGCUAUUAGCAGUUCCUGUUUUCUUGUUACCACUGGAUGUACCGACAACUGUCAAUGAAUCGCUUCGAUACGAUGGAAAACCUAAAAAUGUGAAGAUUCUCAGGCAAGUUCCGAAGGGGUCCAAUUCCUGCACCCAGUAGUCUGCUGUACAUUAUACCUCAUGUUUCUGAGAUAGGGCCCGGCUAUUUCUUGGAUAGGACUCGUAAAAUUCCUGGAGUCUCCACUGGCUGUCUGGCGACCUCACGACGUCUCGCCUUCUCCAGCUCCUCAGCCGAAGCGAACACAUUCACGCUCCUCAGAGUGCCGUUGGACUGGCUGCUGCGAUCACUCAAGGCCCCUUCUGUCAC